RNAcentral lists this ribosomal RNA (400 nucleotides) under uncultured bacterium. RNAcentral describes it as "bacterial SSU rRNA". It matches the Rfam family "Bacterial small subunit ribosomal RNA", at positions 355 to 752 of the family's 1533-position model. The record is from RNAcentral.
UAGGGAAUAUUGGACAAUGGGCGCAAGCCUGAUCCAGCCAUCCCGCGUGAAGGAUGAAGGUCCUCUGGAUUGUAAACUUCUUUUCUUCGGGAAUAAAAACUGGGGUUCUCCUCAGCUUGAAGGUACCGAAGGAAUAAGCACCGGCUAACUCCGUGCCAGCAGCCGCGGUAAUACGGAGGGUGCAAGCGUUAUCCGGAUUCACUGGGUUUAAAGGGUGCGUAGGUGGCUUUGUAAGUCAGUGGUGAAAGCUCGGAGCUCAACUCCGAAACUGCCAUUGAUACUGCUUAGCUUGAAUCAGGUCGAGGUGGAUGGAAUGUGACAUGUAGCGGUGAAAUGCUUAGAUAUGUUACAGAACACCGAUUGCGAAGGCAGUUCACCAGCCCUGUAUUGACACUGAGGC